Molecule: ribosomal RNA, 229 nt
Filed under: uncultured bacterium
Lineage: Bacteria
Description: partial 16S ribosomal RNA
Rfam family: Bacterial small subunit ribosomal RNA
Source: RNAcentral
UGCGCAGGCGGACUUUUAAGUCAGUGGUGAAAUCCCGGGGCUCAACCCCGGAACUGCCAUUGAUACUGAUAGUCUUGAAUUUGGUUGAAGUGGGCGGAAUGUAGCAUGUAGCGGUGAAAUGCUUAGAUAUGCUACAGAACACCGAUCGCGAAGGCAGCUCACUAAGCCAAUAUUGACGCUCAGGCACGAAAGCGUGGGGAGCAAACAGGAUUAGAUACCCUGGUAGUCC